AACGCAGGUGGUUUGGUAAGUCAGGGGUGAAAGUCCACAGCUUAACUGUGGCACUGCCUUUGAUACUACCUUUCUUGAGUGCAUGAGGGGGAAGCGGAAUUCCGAGUGUAGAGGUGAAAUUCGUAGAUAUUCGGAGGAACACCGGUGGCGAAGGCGGCUUCCUGGCAUGUAACUGACACUCAUGUUCGAAAGCGUGGGGAGCAAACAGGAUUAGAUACCCUGGUAGUCCACGCCCUAAACGAUGGGCACUAGGUGUGGGAGGUAUCGACCCCUUCCGUGCCGCAGCUAACGCAUUAAGUGCCCCGCCUGGGGAGUACGGCCGCAAGGUUGAA
This 332-nucleotide ribosomal RNA is filed under the name uncultured bacterium. Its description in RNAcentral is "bacterial SSU rRNA". It matches the Rfam family "Bacterial small subunit ribosomal RNA", at positions 568 to 898 of the family's 1533-position model. The record is from RNAcentral.